GCUUUCGUGGUGUAAUUGGAAGCACGUCCGGUUAAUAAUCAGGAAGUCCAGCGUUAGAAUCCUGGCGAGAGCA
Molecule: transfer RNA, 73 nt
Filed under: Stegodyphus mimosarum
Lineage: Eukaryota; Metazoa; Arthropoda; Arachnida; Araneae; Eresidae
Rfam family: tRNA
About the family: Transfer RNA (tRNA) molecules are approximately 80 nucleotides in length.
Source: Rfam by way of RNAcentral